This is a non-coding RNA of Sus scrofa (pig), 1495 nucleotides long. The record is from RefSeq and is a predicted model, not a curated record. NCBI's taxonomy places the organism in Eukaryota, Metazoa, Chordata, Mammalia, Artiodactyla, Suidae.
UCUUAACCCUCUGUGCCACAGUAGGAACUCCUAGCUAUUAUUAUUUUUGUUGUGGCCAUUACUCUUUGGUGUGUGGCUUCUCAGUACCCAGGGAAAGUAUCAAGUGUUUCUGGGUACAGGUGUGGGGUAAAUAUUUACAGUGAAGGGCCUCAUUUAGAAGAAAAAUAAUGAGCCCUGUGUUAUCCCUAACUUCUACAACUGCCACAGCCCUUGCCUCCCCCAAGCCUGUUCUUGUCAAAAUCUUUUCUCCUUAGGGAUUCAUGACUCAGCACAUUUUUCUGAAAUUGCCAUUCAGAAGCUCUGACACAAAGUAAAACAAAACACAGGCUGUUCCUUCACAAAUCGAAGAGAAUCCACUUGGUAAACUGAAUUACCAUGGGAAUUGGAACUUCUGUUUUUUUUUUUUUUCCUUAGGAGCUCAUCACCCCAGCUGCUUGGAAGGCAGGACUAAAGUUGGGCAGAAAGCAAAACACUCCCAUUUGUUUAUUGAGCACUAAUUGGCUUCAGCCCAGGGCCCUUACCUCCUGCCUUCUCAGUUCUCCUUGGAGAUUGACCCUUGAGGGAAUGGAAUUCCCUGUCAGGUCUUCUGGGAUUCAAUUCCCCGUAGGUUUCAGUCAUAUUAGUUGCUUUUUACUACAUGCAUUCCUUGUCCUAAAGUGUCAUUUACUUUUAUUUUCUCUCCCUUCAAAAGUAGAAACAUAUAUUUUUAAAAAUUUUAUCAGUUUUCUCUGACAGCCGAAAGCCUUUGGUAAACAGCAUGUUUUCCAAAAAGAAGAAUUAGCUGUGAUCAAAGUGCUGAACUUCUGUAGGUCAACUUAAAACUGCAUAGCCACAGAGAUAUGCCUGUUUGGUUUUUUUUUUUUCCUUCCUGGCAGUGUACCUCAUGUGAUAAGGCAGGUUGUUAUUCCUCUAGCUUAGAUUUGAAAACUCCUGAACACCUGUUUUAAUAGAGCGUUUCCAAGACUAGCCCAGAUGACUCUAGCACCAUAACAACAGAGGAGAUCAGGUGGGACUGGUUCUAUCCAUGGACCAGGGUCAGCAGCUCGUUUGCAUAUGGUCGCUAAGGCUGCUGGGAGGAUGCCAUUUUGAAAAGUUCUGGGCAGGACCUCCUCCUGUGGGAUAUGCAUCUCCCCGAAGGUCAAACGUGAACAAGGCCCAGGUGGGGGAAUCAUUUGACAUCAGUGACAGUGCCAUGGUCCACAGAGUUGGGAUGAGCUCAGGUCCCCGGAAAGAACUGUAAAGUUUGACAUACCUCUCUACGAUAUGAUUUCCCUUGUCAACUUCUGUGUCCCCAAGGAACAGCGGAUACAAGCGAAGUGUAUAUCCCAAGAUUAUUCCUCAGUAAGCCAUGUGCAAGCUGUCUCCAUCUCAGUCUGUUUCCAGGAAACCUAGAUUAAGAGUUCAAGUUGACAUGUAACAGGUUCACCGUGUCAAGAAAUUCUUCCAAUUCUAUCCUUGGUUUAUUCUGAUGGCAAAUUUGUCUUGGGCAGCUCCC